Molecule: ribosomal RNA, 490 nt
Filed under: uncultured bacterium
Lineage: Bacteria
Description: partial 16S ribosomal RNA
Rfam family: Bacterial small subunit ribosomal RNA
Source: RNAcentral
AGUGAACGCUGGCGGUAGGCCUAACACAUGCAAGUCGAACGGCAGCACAGGAGAGCUUGCUCUCUAGGUGGCGAGUGGCGGACGGGUGAGGAAUACAUCGGAAUCUGCCCAGUCGUGGGGGAUAACGUAGGGAAAUUUACGCUAAUACCGCAUACGACCUUCGGGUGAAAGAGGGGGAUCGCAAGACCUCUCGCGAUUGGAUGAGCCGAUGUCGGAUUAGCUAGUUAGCGGGGUAAUGGCCCACCAAGGCGACGAUCCGUAGCUGGUCUGAGAGGAUGAUCAGCCACACUGGAACUGAGACACGGUCCAGACUCCUACGGGAGGCAGCAGUGGGGAAUAUUGGACAAUGGGCGCAAGCCUGAUCCAGCCAUACCGCGUGGGUGAAGAAGGCCUUCGGGUUGUAAAGCCCUUUUGUUGGGAAAGAAAUCUUUCAGGCUAAUACCCUGGGAGGAUGACGGUACCCAAAGAAUAAGCACCGGCUAACUUCGUG